UUGGAUCUAAGGAAUAAAGUGAAGGAAGUGUUCCCUGUGAACCCAUGAGACUUCAUCCCUGCGUUGGUCUGGCUGGCUUUCCCUGUGAGAUACAGGUUCCUCCUGAAGAGCUGAAGCUCCAUUCCAGCUCUAGACUUCUCCUUGCUUUCAGACUUCAAGAUGAGAAGCAUUUUUCCAGUCCACAAGUGUUAGAGGACACUGCCGAUGAUGUGUGUUUUGCCCAGGCUGGACUCAGCUUCUUUGUCUCGUUUUGAAAGAAGAGUCAUGCUUCAAUUAAUAACAGACAACGGAGUCAAUAUGAAGGGAGCAGAGACAAUGAUGUGAUCAAAUGCCAAGAAAUGACUGACAGCAGAAAAAAUAUCAUGUGAGCCAAAGCAAUUUCACUUGACUUCUAACUUUAUUCAUCCAACGAAUAACAUUUCAUCACAGUUUUAUCAAUGGAAUGCAAUUCCACCCAGAUCAUUCUGUCAACGACAAGAAACAGCAUCAAAUCAUUCUGUCCACACAAAUAAAUCAAUUGUUGAUUAUUAUUUUCUUCUAUUUGGGAUACAAGGAGGACCAAAUAUUUCGAGUAAAACAAAGGAAAGGAAAGCAGAAAAACUUUUUGUUGUUGUUGACAAAUCCAGCUGGGUAAAUGCAAUUUAUGUCUUUUGAAAAAAUGCAUCCUGAUGUGAGGAGGGAUAAACUGUUUUUAAACUCGAACCAGGGACAAACUGUAAUAAUAAACACACUGGAAGAAAAUGCAACCAUUUAUUGGUUCUUGCAGAUAAAAUAGCAUUUCCAGUUUUUUUUUUUUUGUUUUUUUUUUUUGCUGUUGCUUAUGUAGUUCUCCUUACUGGAAUUCCUCUCCCUUUCUUUGAAUGUAUAAUCACAUUUUGAGAAAACACGAAAUCUCAGGGUCUUACAAAAUCCAACAGGGGAACGUGUCAUCUUUAAAUGACAAGCUGUGUGGGGAGUACUCUGGUUAUGAAUUAGGCUGUUUUUCCUAGUACUGCAAUUUCUUCUUGCUGCCAUUUCGAUGGUGUUGAAAGCCCUUUCUCCAGACUUGUAAGUUGGUGGUCCACUACUGAAUGGAAAGAAAUCUGGUUUUCCAUAUGUUCUCACUCAUAGGUGGGAAUUGAACAAUGAGAACACUUGGA
This 1139-nucleotide long non-coding RNA is filed under the name Homo sapiens (human). RNAcentral describes it as "HSALNT0250091". The record is from RNAcentral. Lineage: Eukaryota; Metazoa; Chordata; Mammalia; Primates; Hominidae.